CUUCAACUUCUUUUCUUUCACUCUUCUUGAAAAAUAGUCUUUUUCCUGAGGAGCCCUUGAGAUAUCUUAGGAUCUUGUAGACUGCUUCCAGAUGACUUUGGUGAAUGCAUGUGUUGACUUACGUGACUUACUGUGAAUGUAAUGUCAAGUCUAAUAUGUGACAAAUAUAUUAGUUUUCCUACUAAUCUUUGAUACAUGUCUGUUUCCACCGAUUCCCCAACGUCUUCAGAUCUCUUUCCCGCUUCCAUGGGUGUGUCACUUGGCUUGCAUCCUAACACGCCGGUUUCGGCUAGGAGAUCAAGAAUAUAUUUUCGCUGUGAGAGACUAAUGCCCUUUCUCGAUCUUGCAAUCUCCAUUCCCAAAAGUACUGCAUUAUUCCCAGAUCUUUCACUUCAAAUUCAGUGGCAAGGCUCUUUUUCAGUCUUUCCAUUUCCACUGCAUUGUCUCCUAUUAAAAUUAUAUCAUCAACAUAUACUAUUAAGAUUGUCUUAGUCCCGUCUUCAAAUUGUUGAAGAAAUAUAGUGUGAUCUGAUUGUUCCUGUCAAUAUCCUUGACCCUUCAACACCUUUGCAAAUUUAUCAAACCAUGCCCUUGGUGACUGUUUGAGUCCAUAUAAAGAUUUCUUGAGUCUGCAUACCCAAUUUUUCUCAUUCAUUUUACAAAAACUUAGUGGUAAUGUCAUGAAAACGUCUUCUUCCAAUUCUCCAUUUAAAAAGGCAUUUUUAAUGUCUAGUUGUUGAAGUGGCCAAUCCAAAUUUGUAGCUAACGACAGAAGAACUUGAAUUGUGUCAUUUUUGCUACUGGUGCAAAUGUUUUUGUGUAGUCGAUGCCAUAGGUUUGUGUGUAUCCUUUUGCAACCAACUGGUCUCUUCCCUUUUGGUAGGUCCAAUACUUCCCAAGUUUCAUUUUUCUCCAAUGCUCUCAUUUCCUCCAAUAUUGCAUCUCUUCAUUCAGGAAUCUCCAAGGCUUCUUGGAUAUUUUUUGGGAUUUCUGUACUGUCUUGAUGAGAUGUGAAAGCACGAAAUUCAGUAGAUAAGAGAUUAUAAGACAUGAAUUUUGAAAUAGGGUGGAGAGUACAUGACCGAGUUUGCUUUCUAAGAGCAAUGGGUAAAUCUGAAGUUUCUGACGCUUCAUAAGGAUGUGGAGCUAUCAUCGGGUCUGACUCUUUUGGUGCUUCGGAUGUGAGAGUCUCCUUGUACUUUGAUUUUGGCUUUUGUGAAUAGACUAGUAUCUCUUUAUUAUUUUGUUUUUCUACAUCCCCCCUGAGUUUAAGUUCCCUUCUGUAAAUGGCAUAUUCAAUGGUGGAAUAGGUUUUAUGGGUGGUGUAGGUUCAGGAGGAGAAGGAUCGAAAUCCAAGAACCUAUCUUCAUGUAAGUUCUCCCCCUGAAGACAGGUUUUUUCAAAAUAUGGUUUAGUUUCGAAGAAGGUAACAUCCAGGCUUACAAAGAGUCUUUUUGUAGAGGGAUCAUAACAUUUGUAGCCCUUUUGAGUAGGGAAUAACCAAUCAAUACACAUUUAAUAGCUUGAAGAUCAAGUUUACUUCUGUGAUGGGAGUGGAUAUAGACAAAAGCGGUACAUCCAAAUACUCUUAGUGAUAGAUUAGAGUCGAGACGUGAGGUUGGAAAGAACUUUUG
This 1634-nucleotide long non-coding RNA is filed under the name Olea europaea subsp. europaea. Lineage: Eukaryota; Viridiplantae; Streptophyta; Magnoliopsida; Lamiales; Oleaceae. The record is from RNAcentral.